This 422-nucleotide ribosomal RNA is filed under the name uncultured Actinobacillus sp. RNAcentral's name for it is "bacterial SSU rRNA". It matches the Rfam family "Bacterial small subunit ribosomal RNA", at positions 355 to 769 of the family's 1533-position model. The record is from RNAcentral. Lineage: Bacteria; Pseudomonadati; Pseudomonadota; Gammaproteobacteria; Pasteurellales; Pasteurellaceae.
UGGGGAAUAUUGCACAAUGGGGGGAACCCUGAUGCAGCCAUGCCGCGUGAAUGAAGAAGGCCUUCGGGUUGUAAAGUUCUUUCGGUGAUGAGGAAGGCAGCUACUUUAAUAGAGUAGUUGAUUGACGUUAGUCACAGAAGAAGCACCGGCUAACUCCGUGCCAGCAGCCGCGGUAAUACGGAGGGUGCGAGCGUUAAUCGGAAUAACUGGGCGUAAAGGGCACGCAGGCGGUGAUUUAAGUGAGAUGUGAAAGCCCCGGGCUUAACCUGGGAAUUGCAUUUCAUACUGGGUCGCUAGAGUACUUUAGGGAGGGGUAGAAUUCCACGUGUAGCGGUGAAAUGCGUAGAGAUGUGGAGGAAUACCGAAGGCGAAGGCAGCCCCUUGGGAAUGUACUGACGCUCAUGUGCGAAAGCGUGGGGAGC